UACGGAGGGUGCAAGCGUUAAUCGGAAUUACUGGGCGUAAAGCGUGCGUAGGUGGUUCGUUAAGUCCGUUGUGAAAGCCCCGAGCUCAACUUGGGAAUUGCAGUGGAUACUGGCGAGCUGGAGUGCGGUAGAGGAAGGUGGAAUUCCCGGUGUAGCGGUGAAAUGCGUAGAGAUCGGGAGGAACACCAGUGGCGAAGGCGGCCUUCUGGACCAGCACUGACACUGAGGCACGAAAGCGUGGGGAGCAAACAGG
RNAcentral lists this ribosomal RNA (253 nucleotides) under uncultured bacterium. RNAcentral describes it as "partial 16S ribosomal RNA". It matches the Rfam family "Bacterial small subunit ribosomal RNA", at positions 524 to 776 of the family's 1533-position model. The record is from RNAcentral.